This 20-nucleotide transfer RNA is filed under the name Ptilinopus dupetithouarsii viridior. Its description in RNAcentral is "partial tRNA-Gly". The record is from RNAcentral. Lineage: Eukaryota; Metazoa; Chordata; Aves; Columbiformes; Columbidae.
UGUGACUCCAGAGAAGAGCA